GUUCAGUCCCUGGGUUGGGAAGAAAGAUCUCCUGGAGGAGGAAAUGGCAGCCCACUCCAGUACUCUUGCCUGGAGAAUUCCAUGGACAGAGGAGCCUGGUGGGCUCCAGUCCACAGAGUCGUAAAGAGUUGGUCAUAACUGAACAACUAAGCAUGCAGUC
Cervus elaphus (red deer) is the source of this 160-nucleotide long non-coding RNA. RefSeq lists it as uncharacterized. The transcript is spliced from 3 exons. The record is from RefSeq and is a predicted model, not a curated record. Lineage: Eukaryota; Metazoa; Chordata; Mammalia; Artiodactyla; Cervidae.